UACGGAGGGUGCAAGCGUUGUCCGGAUUUAUUGGGUUUAAAGGGUGCGUAGGUGGGGUCUCAAGUCUGGUUUGAAAGUUAGCGGCUCAACAGUUAGACGUGGGUGGAAACUGGGGUUCUGGAAUGGGCUGGCGGCUGCCGGAACGGGUGAUGUAGCGGUGAAAUGCAUAGAUAUGACGAAGAACACCGAUUGCGAAGGCAGGCAGCUACGGCAUGAUUGACACUGAGGCACGAGAGCAUGGGUAGCGAACAGG
Molecule: ribosomal RNA, 253 nt
Filed under: uncultured bacterium
Lineage: Bacteria
Description: partial 16S ribosomal RNA
Rfam family: Bacterial small subunit ribosomal RNA
Source: RNAcentral